UUUAUAUCUCAAUAAUCUUUAAUCUACAUAUUUCUUCCAAACUUGAUCUGAUUAUGCCAAGACUGAUGGUUUGAAUACCCUCUUUUUGCACAUUUUUAUUCCUACAGGGUAUUCAAAAGCUGUAUGAAAGCCUUUAAAAAAUUUAACAGUUCGUUUUUUAGAGCACUAACUGACUUGACUUGACUGCUAACAGCGUUGAUUUUUUUAUUUUUUCUGCAGUCGCCGUUCGCAGUUUCCCAGCUAAUUCAAUUUCCUGGCCAUUUGGCAUUGUGUUUGGGACAAGUCUUGUGUUGUCUUUUGUUACAGUUACAAUUUUCCCAACGUCAGCAGUUAAACAGUUUGCAUAUUGUGCAACAAUAACAAUCAUGAAAAGUAGCCGCAAAGCGGGUUGGGGUGGGGUGUCGAGGGCUGCUCUUGUUUCUUGGCUUGUCGGCCACUAAAAUUGUCGUCGAAAUUAAAUGCUUAGUUGAGCUGACAAGCGCCGAUGACAGUUGCACAAUGUCCGCCACAGCAACAACUGUCAGCUGUGUGUGUGUGUGUGUGUGUGAGAGAGAGUCGUAAGCGAUGUGGCAACGCCAAUUUAUGUCGCAUGCAUCUUUGAACGCUGACAAGUGGCAUGAGAAAAGCAUGCGAAAAAGCAGCAUGAGAAAAGUUUUUGCAAGUGAUUGCUUGGGGGCCUGCAUUUUGGGAUUUGAUAUGAGCCCGAGGCUCUUUUUAAAAUGUAGCAGAAAAGCUAGGUUAGCGAAAGGGAGGGCUAAAUGUGACAUUUAGGGAAUUACGAAUUGCUUGGGACAUGCUUACUAUGAGUGACUUUUUGGGGUCAUUUGUGCAUUAACUGAUACUGUAAGUAAUUGGGUUCAUUAGAAGCCAGCUAAACAUUCACGAAUGUGGCGUAAGGAGCAAUAGUAAAAGAAAAAGCCUUUUAUUGUUUGCUUGCGUGAGUGUUUAAAACAUUUAGGAAUUGACAGAGAUUUUAUAUAUAUUAAAUGCCUGCAUCGGAGUUUUAAAACGUUUACGAAAGUGAUGCUAAAAGGCUCCUUAAAUUUGGUUGCAUGAGUGACUUAAAACUUUAACGAUUGUGACAGAGGAUUCGUUAAAACAAGAAGCUCUUUAGUGUUCUAAUUUUCCAUAUCUUUUUUAGAGGCAAUGAAACGAAUGCGCUACUUAAAUUAAAUGAAAUGCCAAACAUGCAUGUAAUAAAUCGAAUAUAUGAUGCCAAGAGUCGAUACUAUCGAAUACCAGUGCCCUGAUGUAUCGAUACUUAAAAUGAAGUUCAUCUUUGAUUUAUCUGAUUUAAACCAACACUCUAGCAUUCGUCCCUGCUACAAUUUGCACGUGAACGGCCGUUCUAUUCAAAAAGCAGGAGCAAACUUGUACAAAUUAGUCACUGGCUGUGCUGUAGAGAUGACUAAAUACGUCAAAGUCAAAACUUCAUACGCACUGACCACCAUUCAUUUGCUCACUUUUACAGCAACCGAAUGGAGGAGGUUGACAUUUAUGUAUAUUGUUUGGUCAAUCAGAAAAGCCGUCCCGAGUGGCCAGUCGUCCAUCCGUCAGUAGGCACUCAAUCAAGUUUUUCAAGGGGCCAUCAAUGCCACUGAAAGCCACACUCAAUUACACGCACUUAACACAAUGCCAAAAUGCAGACCAUAACGAUGAGCGAUAAGGACGAUGAUGAUAUUGAUGUUGAUGAUGAUAAGAAUAAAAUUGCCUGACGAUAUAUGUAUUUUUUUUGCAACAAGCUGACAAUUGUCAAUAUUGUCAGAGAUGAAGAUUUUGACACGAGAUAUAAAAGCCGAAAAGCUGCAAGUGGCAAAAAUGCGCCAAUUAUCGCAUAUGCAAUAACAAAAGGCUUUCCCCACACAGACCAAAAUAAAAUAAUAAAGCAAAAUUAUUAUCGCCUCUGAACAACAAUGAAAGAUGGAAGCAGCUGAGCAACGCGAUUGGCUCUGAGCCUGACAAAGAGGCUAAAAAAAA
Drosophila virilis is the source of this 1977-nucleotide non-coding RNA. The record is from RefSeq and is a predicted model, not a curated record. NCBI's taxonomy places the organism in Eukaryota, Metazoa, Arthropoda, Insecta, Diptera, Drosophilidae.